GUGUCAGCCGCCGCGGUAAUACGUAGGUGGCAAGCGAUACUCGGAUUUAUUGGGCGUAAAGAGAAUUCAGGCGGUCAUGUAAGUCAGUGGUGAAAUACCUCGGCUCAACUGAGGAAUUGCCUUUGAUACUGCGUGACUCGAGGACAGGAGAGGAAGGCGGAAUUCCCGGUGUAGCGGUGGAAUGCGUAGAUAUCGGGAGGAACACCUGAGGCGAAGGCGGCUUUCUGGACUGGUCCUGACGCUGAUAUUCGAAAGCUAGGGGAGCAAACAGGAUUAGAUACCCUGGUAGUCCUAGCUGUAAACGAUGGAUACUAGAUCUUGCAUGAUUUUGCUGGGUCGAAGCUAACGCGUUAAGUAUCCCGCCGGGGGAGUACGGUCGCAAGGCUGAAACUUAAAUGAAUUGACGGGG
This 409-nucleotide ribosomal RNA is filed under the name uncultured prokaryote. RNAcentral's name for it is "bacterial SSU rRNA". It matches the Rfam family "Bacterial small subunit ribosomal RNA", at positions 505 to 918 of the family's 1533-position model. The record is from RNAcentral.